AUCUGCAGCCCCGGCUGGCGAUGCUGACAAAGCCGCUGCUGUCCCGGCGCCUGUCGAUGAGGCCACGCCCAUGGACGAGGACGCUCUGCUGCAGCAAGCCCUGGCAAUGUCCAUGCAGGUAGGGCUGCUGUCCUCUCAGUGCCUGAUCAAUUUAGCAUUUCAGCUUUGAGCCGUAAAAUGACUUAUUUCUGUACCUGUGAAUAUGCACACCAGUUUGUCAUUCUGUGGAGGAGGGCGCAGAGCGCCUUUCACAUCCAACAUGAUUGCUGCUGGGACAGGUUGACAGUGCAGCUGCUGGCGAGGCUCAGCCCAACAGUGCCGCUCCUUCUGCAGCCGCCCCAAAUGCAAGCAGUGGCGUAGACGCGGCAAUGGAUGAUGUCGACGAUGAGGACCUGCGCUUGGCCCUGCAGAUGUCCAUGGCGG
This 423-nucleotide long non-coding RNA is filed under the name Coccomyxa subellipsoidea. RNAcentral describes it as "long non-coding RNA (CSUB_LNC000686)". Lineage: Eukaryota; Viridiplantae; Chlorophyta; Trebouxiophyceae; Coccomyxaceae. The record is from RNAcentral.